GACGAACGCUGGCGGCGUGCUUAACACAUGCAAGUCGAACGAAGAGCGAUGGAAGCUUGCUUCUAUCAAUCUUAGUGGCGAACGGAUGAGUAACGCGUAAUCAACCUGCCCUUCAGAGGGGGACAACAGUUGGAAACGACUGCUAAUACCGCAUACGAUCUAAUCUCGGCAUCGAGGAUGGAUGAAAGGUGGCCUCUAUUUAUAAGCUAUCACUGAAGGAGGGGAUUGCGUCUGAUUAGCUAGUUGGAGGGGUAACGGCCCACCAAGGCGAUGAUCAGUAGCCGGUCUGAGAGGAUGAACGGCCACAUUGGGACUGAGACACGGCCCAGACUCCUACGGGAGGCAGCAGUGGGGAAUCUUCCGCAAUGGACGAAAGUCUGACGGAGCAACGCCGCGUGAGUGAUGACGGCCUUCGGGUUGUAAAGCUCUGUUAAUCGGGACGAAAGGCCUUCUUGCGAAUAGUCAGAAGGAUUGACGGUACCGGAAUAGAAAGCCACGGCUAACUACGUGCCAGCAGCCGCGGUAAUACGUAGGUGGCAAGCGUUGUCCGGAAUUAUUGGGCGUAAAGCGCGCGCAGGCGGAUUGGUCAGUCUGUCUUAAAAGUUCGGGGCUUAACCCCGUGAUGGGAUGGAAACUGCCAAUCUAGAGUAUCGGAGAGGAAAGUGGAAUUCCUAGUGUAGCGGUGAAAUGCGUAGAUAUUAGGAAGAACACCAGUGGCGAAGGCGACUUUCUGGACGAAAACUGACGCUGAGGCGCGAAAGCCAGGGGAGCGAACGGGAUUAGAUACCCCGGUAGUCCUGGCCGUA
This 806-nucleotide ribosomal RNA is filed under the name uncultured organism. RNAcentral's name for it is "SSU rRNA". It matches the Rfam family "Bacterial small subunit ribosomal RNA", at positions 28 to 804 of the family's 1533-position model. The record is from RNAcentral.